Molecule: non-coding RNA, 724 nt
Filed under: Pan troglodytes (chimpanzee)
Lineage: Eukaryota; Metazoa; Chordata; Mammalia; Primates; Hominidae
Source: RNAcentral
GAGGUGCGGCGCGGGCCCUCCUCCCAUUGGACCCGGCGCUCCCGGCAGGCAGGCCUACAGAAUUGGGCAUGAAACAGCAAAGGAUGGCCUCUGCUUCCACCACCAUCAGAAAUGUUACAUUUUCACCAGUGCACCAUAAUGUAGCAGUCUCUCAUUGUGAGGUAUCACCUGGAGUUCUUUGUCUCAUGACCAAGAAAAUUAAGGAGCGUGGAUGCAAAGGAUGAAGUUGCAGCGAAAGUUUAAUAAGCAAAAGAAGAAAGCUCUCCACAGUGGAGAGGGGACCUGGAGGAGGGUUGCUGCUUUUACAGGGGGUGACCUUUAUCUUCAUGGCCCAGUGUGACUGCAAGAGCUCUAGCAUCCAAGUUCCCAGCAGAAGGAUGGAGGACUGACUGGAAAAACAAGGAGACACAGGGUAUGCAUCGGGAUCUUUCUGCUGAUGCAGCUGUUAAGAGUGUUUCAUAAACUGUGACAACACUGAGCAAAAUCAUAGAAGGAAACUCUAUGGACAAUUUCAGAUGGAGAAGAAGAAAGGACUGGAAGUUCAAUUUGGCCAUGACAAUUAGACUUGAAGAAGCUGAGUGAGAAGGCCAUGCAGAUAUCUUGGAGAAGUGCAUUCCAGGCAGAGGAAAAGCCAGUGCAGAGACACUGAAGCAGGGCAUGACUGAUGUGUAUAAGGAGCAUCAUAUACAUGAUCAUCUACAGUCCACUGAGAAUAGCAGACGAA